CACCAUGUAACGCUGACCUUCUGUUCCAAGCUUGUGGAAGUUUACUUGUGUUUUGCGUGGGUGUGUGGAUUACUCAGAGACAAACCAACACUGGAGAGAUUUAAGACAGAUGGGUUUAUUUGGAACAAUAAAUGUACUAGGAAUCAGAGCAAUUUUGGAGCCACUUCUCCUGCUGCUACUUCCACUACAGUUGGCUCCAGGACAGCUCCUCCAUGUUUGCUGCUUGCCCUGGGCUUGACCGUGCACCAGCUGGGCCAACUCCUAUGAGAGAUAUCCAUGAGUCUAAGCAUGAAGGGGAAGCGCGAGAAAGACCGGCGGGACAGGGCUCAACACUCACCGGCAGUGACUCUUGGACUCCUGUGAACUCAAACUUUAUUAUGCAAAGAACCCCUUCAGUCUUUGACUGCUCCCCCGUAGGACCUGAAGCCCAAACCAGGGACUCAAACCACUGCUCCCAUUGGAUAUGAUGUUACUACAACAUCACCCAUAGUAUUCUAUAGCAAUGGAGAGACGAAAACCACUGCACACUGUAGGAUAAAUUACUACACAAUUGUGUUUUUAUGCGCUAUAACACACGCAACCCUGCUUAUGUAGCAAACGCCACCACCGCACAAUAUUGAUAUGCAUUCCGUGUUGCAUCAUUCAGGGAGGUAGCUGAUCUGUAAGGUUGGUUCAGGCACCAUUAGGCUGAUGGAAAGAAAUGCCCAAUGACGAUUUAUUAAAGGGUAGAAGGUCCUAAAUGUGAAAGUAGGCCAGGUUAAUGAGAGGACUUCAAUUUGUUUCUCAAAAAGUAGAUCCAAUACCACAGAAAGACAUGACCGGUUACGUGCUUUGUCCAUCGGGGAGGUCAAUCUUAUUAAUCUUCUGUUUUGGAACUACUUUGAGUCAUGUGGAUUUUUAUUGAGAGAAUUCGUCGUUCUGUCAAUGAAAAGCUCCGAAAAAACUGGUUUGAAAAUAUUGUGAACCUGUCGAUACCAAUAGCACAAAUAUAUCUGAUGUUCCGUUUCACACGUGUUCAUUCCAAGCUCCGUUACUUCCUGUGUGUCGCAUUUACCCUGGUUCCUCUCGUUAUACACAAACACGGCACAGCAUCCUUUUAAUCUAAGCCAUGCUGUUUAUUGACUUUGAGCAAAUACACAGGCACUUUCCUUUGGCACUUCUGCAUCACCAGUCACCUCCUCAAAAGGGCAGGUAACCCUCUGCAGCAUACCAGUAUUUACCAUGUGUUUUAGACCAUUUUUAUAAGUGUUUUAUGAAUAUUUUAUAGACGUGUAUAAAUGAACUCUACAGAGGGGAUCAUACCGACUACUCAAAUGCACACAAGGUUAAUCAUGUCAACUGAUGAAUGUUAUUGUCAGUGUAGUGUAUGCAUUUAUACAUAUUGCUUAUGUUUCAUAACAAGUCCAAUGAGUAUAUCCUCUGGCGUGUUGAUGUUGAUGUUCUCCGUAUCCACAGCCAGAAUGAUUUUGCAGUGCAUGGUGAUCAAACAUGUUUCCUGUUAUAUUCAUCAGAGGUGUAGGGAGGGUGAAGUCUGUGAAUCCAAUUUUUUAUUAUACAGAUGUUUAAUUAAACAUGUACACGACAGUACUCAUACCUUGGUUUUUGUGGUAAAUGGGAAUUUAAAAGAACUGUUUUGAUAAUGG
RNAcentral lists this long non-coding RNA (1643 nucleotides) under Salmo salar (Atlantic salmon). RNAcentral describes it as "lncRNA (ENSSSAG00000090480.1)". Lineage: Eukaryota; Metazoa; Chordata; Actinopteri; Salmoniformes; Salmonidae. The record is from RNAcentral.